Molecule: ribosomal RNA, 41 nt
Filed under: Aspergillus toxicarius
Lineage: Eukaryota; Fungi; Ascomycota; Eurotiomycetes; Eurotiales; Aspergillaceae
Description: partial 28S ribosomal RNA
Source: RNAcentral
UUGACCUCGGAUCAGUAGGAUACCCGCUGAACUUAAGCUAU